UUACGGUCAUAUCACCUUGAGACACCGUUUCUCGUACGAUCACCGCAGUUAAACAACGUCAGACGUGUUCAGUAUCUAAAUGGGUGAAUGCUUGGGAAUAUCAGGUGUUGUAA
Non-coding RNA from Acanthosepion pharaonis, 113 nucleotides. NCBI's taxonomy places the organism in Eukaryota, Metazoa, Mollusca, Cephalopoda, Sepiida, Sepiidae. The record is from the annotation of a GenBank genome assembly.